Molecule: long non-coding RNA, 2838 nt
Organism: Diceros bicornis minor
Lineage: Eukaryota; Metazoa; Chordata; Mammalia; Perissodactyla; Rhinocerotidae
Exons: 3
Source: RefSeq, a predicted model, not a curated record
UGAGAGCCACAGGGCUCGCUACAGGCCACCAGAUGAGCUCUCCACAGAGAAGCCCCGUGCAAGGGCGCAUCUGAAACUAGCAGGCCAGGCAAGCUGAGAGGCCCAGUCAGGCCCCUAAUGUUACAACAAGGAUGUACAGGGAAAAGGCAGCUCAUCGUGACAUGCAAUCAAAGGGCCCAUCUCUGUGAUUCUAAACACAGGCUGAGCCUGCAGGAAUGUCCCUGACACCCCAUCACAGAGCCCCCAGCACCCACCCCCCAUGCCCCUGCUGGGGCAACCAGGCCCAGCUAGCCAGGUCCCCACCCCUGGCUUCUGGCUGGCUCAGAAACCUUCAAGGCUUGGGCUCCUGGCCUACUCACUGGAGGCUCCUAGAGAAGGAUUUCAUCUCCUUCGAGGUGCCGGAGGUUUGGGGACACACCUGGGAACCUGACCAUCCUCUCCUGCUCUACAUUCAGAGCAACCACAUUCUGAGCUCCAAACACAGGCUCACGACUGAAUUAAAGUGGAACUUCUGAUGGGUAAGUUGAAAAGUCUCCUACAUUUCCCCAGCAUUUUUUCACCCCCCAGCACAGUGAGCCUAAAAUGCAUCUAAAUUGUGGUCAAAAGAAAAAGAAAAUGAAAACAAAACUGCUUAAAACAUUUAAAAAUUUCCCCCAAUACAUAGAUUGUUUUCUAAAACUGUGGCCAAGGAUGUUUGGACGGGUACUGCUGAGGUUUCGGCUCAUGAUGUCAGGAUAGUUCUAGAGCUUCGUGGUGGGCUGACUUUCCUCUGCUCGUAUUUUAGAUCAGUGUCAAACAAAAACGCCAGAAAAUCAAAGUUGUUUCCCGGGGUUGCAACAACAUGAAAUUUCCAGGAAACACUGAGAAGGUUUACUUCUGCGUUUGUAUGAAAAUAGCUAAUGAUGGUGUCAAUCUCACAGGGAAGGUAACUGGCAGGGGGUGGCGUGAUGAGGCCUGCUCUGGAAGGCACCGCCCAGGAGGCUGUCACUCACUGUCAGCGCUGGGUGUCACCUGGUGGCCAGGAUCCUGCAGCCUGUUCAGUCCAUCAUGCUCGGCACGCCCAGGUUUGUUUCUCUGUCAGAAACAGAUCUCUCAGGCCCCAUAUGCGGUUGGGAGUCCACAGAACCUUACCAGUGGAGCUGAAAAAUUCAUAAACACUAUCCUAGACUUCAUUUUUUGAGGAAAGUGACCCCUUCCCUGGGCACUGGGUGUGGCCUUCAGCCAAACUUAGCACUUGGAAAAUACAGGGGGAAAAAUUGAGGAACCACACUUAGAACUAAUCUACUAACUUUUUUUUUCAUGACACACGAAAGCACAGAUGCACCCAAGUGUCCUUACCCUUAGCAGGGGUGGGUGGGGUUUGCUGCAAUAACAAGCGGGAGCUUUGAAAUGAGAUGGGAGUUCAAAUCCUGACUUCUCUCUCAUUUGUUGUGUGGCCUUGGGCCAACCACUUAACCACACUGAGCCUCUCCUUCCUCAGCUGGCAAAAGAGAUAAAGCAUCUACUUUGCAGGGGAUUGGGAAAAUUAAUGAAAUAACAAAUAUGAAAGGACCAGGACCAGGACCCUCAGUAGUGCUCAAGUGGUGCUAAUUUCCUUUCCUUCUUUAUAAGAACUUUUUCCCUAUGUACAGAAGCAUAAAGGAAAUAAGGAGGCAUUAAAGCAAAGUGCUUUUACUUAGAAUUCCAACAACCAAAAAUUUAUAGCAUAGGACACUUCACUUACGGCUGCCACCAUCUCACUGAUGUUAUAAAUACGACCAAGAGCCAGAGGAGAAACAAAUACAAUCUGGAUGCCGGUGAUGCUGAUGCAACCACAAUCCGGGCAUUACUAGUCUGUGGGAUUUACUCACGGAAGAACUUCUCAGACCCUCAAGGAAGACCUUUGGAUACUCACUUUGUACACAGUUUAAAACAAUAUCUAGUAUUUCAGCUGACAGAAAACGUAAAGCUAAAACAAAAAUGGGGAGGGAGAGCGAUCAGAGAAGAAAAAGGGCUGUGCUAUGGACUGAAGGUUUGUGUACCCCACAUCCAUAUGUUGAAGCCCUACUUCCCCGUGGGAUGGGACCUGGAGGUGGGGCCUUUGGGAGGAAUUAGGGUUAGAUGAGAUCACGAGGGUCCUCUCAUGAUGGGAUUAAUGCCCUUAUAAAAAGAGGAGACACGUGAUAUCUCUGUCUCUGUCUCUGUCUCUCUCUCUCUGUCAUGUGAAGACACAGCAAGAGGGCAGCCAUCUGCAAACCAGCAAGGGAGGCCUCACUAAGAACCCAACUGUGCUGUCACCCUGAUCUUGGACUUCCAGCCUCCAGAACUGUGCUGACGCGCUGCCUUCAUACCACCUGCCUGCUCCUCCCUUCCUUACCGCCUGUUCAGUCCCAACCCAUACUCCAGACUCUACCCUGGCCACCCCGGGAGGGGCAAAGGCUGCUACAGCAGAGCGUUUCCUCUCUAGAUCAGACCAGUGAUGCCCGACGCUUCUGACCAUGGCCCUAAUGAGACCCUGAACUCAAACAGCCCCUCUGUGGGCCUUUGGACCACAGCACACAUUUUCUAGGACUCUGAAGGUAGGCUCAGCCCACUUAGAUGGGCUCCACUGCCAACCCUCUUAAUGAUGUUCCCAAGACACUCUAGUUAUUGUUAGUGCCGUUGAGUGGAUUCUGACUCCUAGUGACCCUGGGUAUAGCAGAGCAGAGCCCGGCCCGGUCUUUUUGGGCCAUUAUCUCACCUUCCAGUGCUAUAUCAGACAAUGUUCCACUGCUAAUCAUAGAGUUUUCAUGGCCAAUUUUUUUGGAAGUGGGUGGCCAGCUCCUUCUUCCUGGUCUUUCUUAGUCUGGAAGCUCCGCC